CAAACUGUCCUUGUUAGAAGGUUCAUUGUUUACAUCAAUGGUGUGGUCGUGCAAUUCGACUUUGUUUGA
RNAcentral lists this transfer RNA (69 nucleotides) under Neuroctenus hainanensis. RNAcentral's name for it is "tRNA-Val". The record is from RNAcentral. RNAcentral also lists the same sequence under 1 other name. Lineage: Eukaryota; Metazoa; Arthropoda; Insecta; Hemiptera; Aradidae.